RNAcentral lists this ribosomal RNA (663 nucleotides) under uncultured cyanobacterium. RNAcentral describes it as "bacterial SSU rRNA". It matches the Rfam family "Bacterial small subunit ribosomal RNA", at positions 99 to 795 of the family's 1533-position model. Lineage: Bacteria; Bacillati; Cyanobacteriota. The record is from RNAcentral.
CGGACGGGUGAGUAACGCGUGAGAAUCUGCCUUCAGGUCGGGGACAACCACUGGAAACGGUGGCUAAUACCGGAUAUGCCGCAACGUGAAAGAUUUAUCGCCUGAAGAGGAGCUCGCGUCUGAUUAGCUAGUUGGUGGGGUAAAAGCUCACCAAGGCGACGAUCAGUAGCUGGUCUGAGAGGAUGAUCAGCCACACUGGGACUGAGACACGGCCCAGACUCCUACGGGAGGCAGCAGUGGGGAAUUUUCCGCAAUGGGCGAAAGCCUGACGGAGCAAGACCGCGUGAGGGAGGAAGGCUCUUGGGUUGUAAACCUCUUUUCUCAGGGAAGAACAAAAUGACGGUACCUGAGGAAUCAGCCUCGGCUAACUCCGUGCCAGCAGCCGCGGUAAUACGGAGGAGGCAAGCGUUAUCCGGAAUUAUUGGGCGUAAAGCGUCCGCAGGUGGCACUUCAAGUCUGUCGUCAAAGACUGGGGCUUAACCCUGGAAAGGCGGUGGAAACUGAAGCGCUAGAGUGUGGUAGGGGUAGAGGGAAUUCCCGGUGUAGCGGUGAAAUGCGUAGAGAUCGGGAAGAACAUCGGUGGCGAAAGCGCUGUACUGGACCACAACUGACACUCAGGGACGAAAGCUAGGGAAGGGAAUGGGAUUAGAUACCCCAGUAGUC